RNAcentral lists this ribosomal RNA (253 nucleotides) under uncultured bacterium. RNAcentral's name for it is "partial 16S ribosomal RNA". It matches the Rfam family "Bacterial small subunit ribosomal RNA", at positions 524 to 776 of the family's 1533-position model. The record is from RNAcentral.
UACGAAGGUCCCAAGCGUUAUCCGGAUUUAUUGGGUUUAAAGGGUGCGUAGGCGGGUUAUUAAGUCAGUGGUGAAAGCCUGCAGCUCAACUGCAGAAUUGCCAUUGAUACUGAUGAUCUUGAGUAUGAUUGAGGUGGGCGGAAUGUGUCAUGUAGCGGUGAAAUGCUUAGAUAUGACACAGAACACCGAUGGCGAAGGCAGGUCUCUGGGCCACUACUGACGCUGAGAAGCGAAAGCAUGGGGAGCGAACAGG